This 301-nucleotide ribosomal RNA is filed under the name uncultured bacterium. RNAcentral's name for it is "partial 16S ribosomal RNA". It matches the Rfam family "Bacterial small subunit ribosomal RNA", at positions 509 to 807 of the family's 1533-position model. The record is from RNAcentral.
CAGUAGCCGCGGUAAUACGGAGGGUGCAAGCGUUAUCCGGAUUUAUUGGGUUUAAAGGGUCCGUAGGCGGACUUAUAAGUCAGUGGUGAAAGCCUGUCGCUUAACGAUAGAACUGCCAUUGAUACUGUAAGUCUUGAGUAUAUUUGAGGUAGCUGGAAUAAGUAGUGUAGCGGUGAAAUGCAUAGAUAUUACUUAGAACACCAAUUGCGAAGGCAGGUUACCAAGAUAUAACUGACGCUGAGGGACAAAAGCGUGGGUAGCGAACAGGAUUAGAUACCCCUGUAGUCCCUGUCUCUUAUAC